UACGGAGGGGGCUAGCGUUGUUCGGAAUUACUGGGCGUAAAGCGCGCGUAGGCGGCUUUGUAAGUUAGAGGUGAAAGCCCAGGGCUCAACCCUGGAAUUGCCUUUAAGACUGCAUCGCUUGAACAUCGGAGAGGUAAGUGGAAUUCCGAGUGUAGAGGUGAAAUUCGUAGAUAUCGGGAGGAACACCAGUGGCGAAGGCGGAGACCUGGGCCGAUACUGACGCUGAGGUGCGAAAGCGUGGGGAGCAAACAGG
This 253-nucleotide ribosomal RNA is filed under the name uncultured bacterium. Its description in RNAcentral is "partial 16S ribosomal RNA". It matches the Rfam family "Bacterial small subunit ribosomal RNA", at positions 524 to 776 of the family's 1533-position model. The record is from RNAcentral.